RNAcentral lists this ribosomal RNA (406 nucleotides) under uncultured bacterium. RNAcentral describes it as "partial 16S ribosomal RNA". It matches the Rfam family "Bacterial small subunit ribosomal RNA", at positions 30 to 526 of the family's 1533-position model. The record is from RNAcentral.
AUUGAACGCUAGCGGGAUGCUUUACACAUGCAAGUCGAACGAGUGGCGGACGGGUGAGUAAUAUAUCGGAACGUGCCCAGUAGCGGGGGAUAACUACUCGAAAGAGUGGCUAAUACCGCAUACCAUCGGAUGUGCCCAGAUGGGAGUAGCUAGUAGGGGGGGUAAAGGCUCACCUAGGCGACGCUCCCUAGCUGGUCUGAGAGGUGGACCAGCCACAGUGGAACUGAGACACGGUCCAGACUCCUACGGGAGGCAGCAGUGGGGAAUAUUGCGCAAUGGGCGAAAGCCUGAUACAGCCAUGCCGCGUGUGUGAAGAAGGCCUUCGGGUUGUAAAGUACUUUCAGCGGGGAGGCGUUACCCGCAGAGGAAGCAACGGCUAACUCCGUGCCAGCAGCCGCGGUAAUAC